GGACCCGCACAAGUAGUGGAGCAUGUGGUUUAAUUCGAAGAUACGCGCAGAACCUUACCAACACUUGACAUGUUCGUCGCGACUCUAAGAGAUUAGAGUUUUCGGUUCGGCCGGACGAAACACAGGUGCUGCAUGGCUGUCGUCAGCUCGUGUCGUGAGAUGUUGGGUUAAGUCCCGCAACGAGCGCAACCCUCACUUUUAGUUGCCAUCAUUAAGUUGGGCACUCUGAAAGAACUGCCAGUGAUAAGCUGGAGGAAGGUGGGGAUGACGUCAAGUCCUCAUGGCCCUUACGUGUUGGGCUACACACGUGCUACAAUGGUAUCUACAACAGGAAGCAAAACGGCGACGUUAAGCAAAUCCUUAAAAGAUACCUCAGUUCGGAUUGCACUCUGCAACUCGAGUGCAUGAAGCUGGAAUUACUAGUAA
This 426-nucleotide ribosomal RNA is filed under the name uncultured bacterium. RNAcentral's name for it is "bacterial SSU rRNA". It matches the Rfam family "Bacterial small subunit ribosomal RNA", at positions 917 to 1341 of the family's 1533-position model. The record is from RNAcentral.